This 460-nucleotide ribosomal RNA is filed under the name uncultured bacterium. Its description in RNAcentral is "partial 16S ribosomal RNA". It matches the Rfam family "Bacterial small subunit ribosomal RNA", at positions 338 to 795 of the family's 1533-position model. The record is from RNAcentral.
CCUACGGGAGGCAGCAGUGAGGAAUAUUGGUCAAUGGACGAGAGUCUGAACCAGCCAAGUAGCGUGAAGGAUGACUGCCCUAUGGGUUGUAAACUUCUUUUAUGUGGGAGUAAAAUGUUCCACGUGUGGGAUUUUGUAUGUACCAUAUGAAUAAAGAUCGGCUAACUCCGUGCCAGCAGCCGCGGUAAUACGGAGGAUCCGAGCGUUAUCCGGAUUUAUUGGGUUUAAAGGGAGCGUAGGUGGAUUGUUAAGUCAGUUGUGAAAGGUUGCGGCUCAACCGUAAAAUUGCAGUUGAUACUGGCAGUCUUGAGUACAGUAGAGGUGGGCGGAAUUCGUGGUGUAGCGGUGAAAUGCUUAGAUAUCACGAAGAACUCCGAUUGCGAAGGCAGCUCACUGGACUGAAACUGACACUGAGGCUCGAAAGUGUGGGUAUCAAACAGGAUUAGAUACCCUAGUAGUC